CACCAGGUUGAUUCUGCCUGACGUGGACGCUUGCCUUAAGGAUUAAGCCAUGCAAGCCAGCGAAGGAUACGGAGCGGUAAACGGCUCAGUAGGACAGGGACAUCUGACCACGGGUUGAGGAUAACCACGGUAAUCUGUGGCUAAUACGAGCGUGGGUGAGUCUCUGGCCUAUCAGCUAGGCGGUACGGUAAGGGCGUACCGCGGCAACGACGGGUAGCGGGGAAUCGGGGUUUGAUUCCGGAGAGGGAGCCUGAGAGAUGGCUGCCACGUCCAAGGACGGCAGCAGGCGCGGAAGUUACCCACUUGGAGGACCAGAGGUAGUGACGAGGCGUGACGAUGAGGCCAGAGCAAAGAUCUGGCUGAAGGCAACUGGAGGGCAAGUCUGGUGCCAGCAGCCGCGGUAAUUCCAGCUCCAGGAGCGUCUGUGUGAGUUGCUGCGGUUAAAGCGUGCGUAGUCUGAUGAUUCGCCAGCAGGAAAUGUGCGGUCUCGGGCCGUGCAGGGUGUUGGAACGAAAGUCUAGAGACCGGGGCGGGGCAAUGGUAUUCGGCAGCGAGGGGUGAAAACCGAUGACCUGUUGAGGAGCGACCGAGGCGUAAGCGGUUGUCCGGAACGGGUCUGACGAUCAAGCGCGUGAGCGGGAGGAUCGAAGGCGAUUAGAGACCGUCGUAGUUCCUGCAGUAAACGAUGCCGACCGGGGUGCACGCGGUGUGCCCUACGGGAAACCGAGUGUAUGGGCUCCGGGGAUAGUACAGGCGCAAGCCGGAAACUCGAAGAAAUUGACGGAAGGACACCACAAGGAGUGGAGUGUGCGGGUUAAUUUGACUCAACGCGGGACAACUUACCGGGGCAGGUGGUUUUGUGUGAGGGAGUAUGAAAAGACUUUACUACCGAUAGAACCACGCGUGGUGCAUGGCCGUUCUUAACACGUGGGGUGACCUGUCUGGUUAAAUCCGAUAACGCGUGAGACCCUGGAUAGUGACGGGACCUGACGAAGGUUAGGAGGCGCGGGUCGAUAACAGGUCUGUGAUGCCCGUAGAUGUUCCGGGCGCCACGCGCACUACAGUGGGGGAGGGUGCGUGAGACAGCGCUCCCCUGCGGUGGGGAUCGACGUUUGUAAAUACGUUGUGAACGCGGAAUUCCUAGUAGCGUGCUGUCACUAACGGCAGGUGAAUGAGUCCCUGUUCUUUGUACACACCGCCCGUCGCUAUCUAAGAUGGAUGUGCGGAUGAAGGCGGCUCGGCCGCAAGAAUCCGUGCGACUAGAUUGGAUACAAGUCGUAACAAGGUUGCAGUAGGUGAACCUGCCGCAGGAUCAGUAACGAAAUAGUUUGGGUAUUUAUAAAAAAGUAUUAUUAGUAGUACGCUCGAGGGAUCGAUUGGCUUCGGAGACGACGAAGAACGCAGCAGAGCGCGUUAGAUGGAGAUGAAGGCAUUCAUUACCCAGUGUUCGAAUUAAAAGGGGAUCCUUUUGAGUUUACCCCGUGGACUUAAGCAUAUCAUUAGUGGGAGGAGAAGAAAACAACGGUGAUUCCAGUAGUAGUGGCGAACGAAGCGGGAAACGCUCCGAUGGUAAAGAACGGGUGUUCUAUUGUAUGGGGACGUGGGCAAUGUUCUGAAAAGAACACACGCAGAGGGUGAUAUGCCUGUACUGUAGGCUCAGUAUUAUGAGUAACGCUGUUUGGUAGUGCAGUGUGAACGGGUGGUUGUGAGCAUCCAAGGCUAAAUACGAUCGAAGACCGAUAGUGGAUAAGUACUGUGAAGGAACCCACUGGCUUUAAUGGUCAGUUCGUGAAACCGAGCGUGCGGAAGGCAACGACGUUGCACCCGUCUUGAAACACGGACCA
This 1844-nucleotide ribosomal RNA is filed under the name Lanatospora costata. Its description in RNAcentral is "SSU rRNA". The stretch from base 1 to 1318 matches the Rfam family "Microsporidia small subunit ribosomal RNA". The record is from RNAcentral. Lineage: Eukaryota; Fungi; Microsporidia.